CAGGAGGAGGAGCAGCAGCAGCAGGAGUAGUAGGAGGAGUAGGAGUAGUAGGAGUAGGAGUAGUAGGAGGAGGAGUAGCAGUAGCGUAGCAGCAGUAGUAGUAGUUAGUAAGAGUAGUAGUAGGAGUAGGAGUAGGAGUAGGAGUAGUAGAAGUAGGAGGAGUAGGAGGAGUAGGAGGAGGAGGAGUAGCAGUAGCGUAGGAGUAGUAGUAGUAGUAGGAGUAGGAGUAGUAGUAGGAGUAGGAGUAGUAGUAGGAGUAGGAGUAGUAGUAGCAGUAGCAGUAGGAGUAGUAGUAGGAGUAGGAGUAGUAGUAGGAGUAAGAGUAGGAGUAGUAGGAGUAGGAGGAGGAGUAGUAGGAGGAGGAGGAAGAGGAGGAGCAGCAGCAGCAGCAGCAGCAGUAG
RNAcentral lists this long non-coding RNA (401 nucleotides) under Helianthus annuus (common sunflower). RNAcentral describes it as "hypothetical non coding rna". Lineage: Eukaryota; Viridiplantae; Streptophyta; Magnoliopsida; Asterales; Asteraceae. The record is from RNAcentral.